UGCUGGCUGUCUUUGACCGUACACCAGAAU
RNAcentral lists this non-coding RNA (30 nucleotides) under Rattus norvegicus (Norway rat). The record is from RNAcentral. Lineage: Eukaryota; Metazoa; Chordata; Mammalia; Rodentia; Muridae.